This 93-nucleotide small nucleolar RNA is filed under the name Erinaceus europaeus (western European hedgehog). Its description in RNAcentral is "Small nucleolar RNA U3 (ENSEEUG00000023334.1)". It matches the Rfam family "Small nucleolar RNA U3", at positions 1 to 108 of the family's 219-position model. From Rfam's summary of the family: Small nucleolar RNAs (snoRNAs) are involved in the processing and modification of rRNA in the nucleolus. Lineage: Eukaryota; Metazoa; Chordata; Mammalia; Eulipotyphla; Erinaceidae. The record is from RNAcentral.
AAGAGUAUACUUUCAGGGAUCAUUUCUAUAGUUCUCUACUAGAGAAUUUCAUAUAUCAAAGUCCCAAUUAAUUGGACAAGCUCUCAAAUUUGA